Long non-coding RNA from Dinoponera quadriceps, 831 nucleotides. RefSeq lists it as uncharacterized. The record is from RefSeq and is a predicted model, not a curated record. Lineage: Eukaryota; Metazoa; Arthropoda; Insecta; Hymenoptera; Formicidae. The transcript is spliced from 2 exons.
UCGGUCCAAAAACCGGCCGCGUCGCGACGACGCCGCCGACGUCGUCGCUGUAAAGCGCGCGCCGUUGUUCUCGCGCGGGUCGCCGCCAAUCUCAUCGACUGGAUGCGAUCGCUCGCGUCGUGGCGGGAAAUUUGGGGGGGGGGGCGCAUACAGAUGCGUUCCGGCGAAAAUUUCGCGCCGCCGCCGGCGGGGCCGAUAUUUAUCGCUCUUUCCGCGCGUCGCUGUUGGUAAAAUUCGCGCGCAGCCGCUUGAGUGACAAAUGUUUAAAUGUAAGAUACAGCGGAUACAGCGUAUAAUCCGAGCCGCGCCGAUUCCAAUCUCCGCUCGGAAGAUGAAAAUCUUGGAAAAGACGGAGGAGAUGGAGGUAGAGGAGGAAGAGGGAGGCGGUGAUGCACGUUCAUCCGUCCCUGGUGCGUAUUUCGGAAGGGGGUGGGUGAGGAAGGAGGACGCGAAAAGGCCCGGUGGUCACUUCGCGUCGCUGUCAGCCUUCAUGCUUUGUCGGCGGCGAGGCGAGAUGCGAUGAUACCUGAAAUCAGAAUGUACGAAACGUUAAUGACACUGGCGAGUCACUCCCACGCGGUCGGAAACAUCGUGCGCGCCAACAUUCCGAUCGCAUGUGGAAACCGCCGCGGCAUCGACGACGGCAAGAUUCUCUCUCUAGCGCGUCUAUGAAUCAUUGAUAGAGCACGCGGUGCAUGCCUGUACGUACUAGACCUAUACGUGAAACUGCACACACGCAUGAACGUCAAAUUUAGAAAUCGCGCUGGAGAGACCCCGCGAAUCACACUUUUACCGAAAAAUCCCAUGCAAAUACAGCUCGCUCUCUCUCUC